AAAAGGGACUACAGUUAUUUUUAAAUUUGGAAUCAAAGGAGGAAAUAUAGAUUGUAAAUUAAGGUUGGCUGAAUUUAUUCAGGAAUUUGCCAGACUGAAUAUGUAAUUUCUAGAGUGUGAAUGAAACAAAAAUGAAGUUUCUAAGUGAUCUCUUUGUCUUUCUCUCUUUGUCUAUAUCUUCAGUUUCAUCCCUGACUAGUCCCAGGAUGGAAAGACAGGUGAUUUUCUCUCUCCUUACUCUUAUAUCCUGAAAUGGUUAAUGAAACCGAUUCCAGGUUGGCUACUUCAAUGAUCAUUCGAUGGCAGUAUUAUUUAAUAACGAAAUGACUAUAAGUCAAAAUACUAGCACAAAGAAAAAUACCUAUUCUAUAUGGCAAGAUUUUUGUCAGACGUUUACUAAUGAGCCAUAUAUUUAAAAAGAAGCUGUAAUGAAAAACAUUACUGAUCAUUCUUUGAAGUUUGUAAUCUAUACUGUCUCCUUUUGUUUAGGGCCCCAAAUAAGAUGUGUAUGAAUGUUGCAAUUUUGUGUAACUCAGGGAUAAGCAUUCAUUGAUAUCGUUUAUCCUUUUUUCUCUUGUAAAAUAGUAUAAUAAAAACCCUGAAAUAAUAGUUAUAUUUAUGGGCUUUGCUAUUUGUUGAACAAAAUCCUUUAUAGAUAAUAUUCAGUGACGAGCCAUCACUCUCUUUGAUUUU
RNAcentral lists this long non-coding RNA (693 nucleotides) under Bos taurus (domestic cattle). RNAcentral's name for it is "long non-coding RNA NONBTAT022541". Lineage: Eukaryota; Metazoa; Chordata; Mammalia; Artiodactyla; Bovidae. The record is from RNAcentral.